GAAAGAUUCAUCGGAAGAGGAUGGGCAUGCGGCGCAUUAGCUUGACGGCGGGGUAACGGCCCACCGUGGCGACGAUGCGUAGGGGUUCUGAGAGGAAGGUCCCCCACACUGGUACUGAGACACGGACCAGACUCCUACGGGAGGCAGCAGUGAGGAAUAUUGGUCAAUGGGAGAGAUCCUGAACCAGCCAAGCCGCGUGAGGGAAGACGGCCCUAUGGGUUGUAAACCUCUUUUGUCGGAGAACAAAACCCGGGACGUGUCCCGGACUGCGUGUAUCCGAAGAAAAAGCAUCGGCUAACUCCGUGCCAGCAGCCGCGGUAAUACGGAGGAUGCGAGCGUUAUCCGGAUUUAUUGGGUUUAAAGGGUGCGUAGGCGGUCCGUUAAGUCAGCGGUAAAAUUGCGGGGCUCAACCCCGUCGAGCCGUUGAAACUGGCAGACUUGAGUUGGCGAGAAGUACGCGGAAUGCGCGGUGUAGCGGUGAAAUGCAUAGAUAUCGCGCAGAACUCCGAUUGCGAAGGCAGCGUACCGGCGCCAGACUGACGCUGAGGCACGAAAGCGUGGGGAUCGAACAGGAUUAGAUACCCUGGUAGUCCACGCAGUAAACGAUGAAUGCUGGUUGUCCGGGUCGAAUG
This 632-nucleotide ribosomal RNA is filed under the name uncultured bacterium. RNAcentral's name for it is "bacterial SSU rRNA". It matches the Rfam family "Bacterial small subunit ribosomal RNA", at positions 202 to 835 of the family's 1533-position model. The record is from RNAcentral.